UCACGAAAGUUGGUUGUACCGGAAGCCGGUGCGCUAACCCUUCGGGGAAGCAGCCGUCCAUGGUAUGCCCAGCGAUUGGGGUG
This 83-nucleotide ribosomal RNA is filed under the name uncultured bacterium. RNAcentral's name for it is "partial 16S ribosomal RNA". The record is from RNAcentral.